Molecule: long non-coding RNA, 341 nt
Organism: Ornithodoros turicata
Lineage: Eukaryota; Metazoa; Arthropoda; Arachnida; Ixodida; Argasidae
Exons: 4
Source: RefSeq, a predicted model, not a curated record
UGGGCCUGGAAGAAGAGGCUUCGAAGCCUUAGGAAACCAAGAGGUGGAUUGGGCCUGGAAGAAGAGCCUGCGUAGCCUUAGGAAACCAAGAGGUUAGUCUGAUUUUUCUAAAAAUGCUUCUAUGAAGCAGGAAAUAAAUACACAUAUUCAGUAAAGGAUGCUCCUUAUAUUGCGGGUGGAUUGGGCCUGGAAGAAAAGCCUUCGAAGCCUCAGGAAACCAAGAGGUGGGUUGGGCCUGGAAGAAGAGCCUUCGAAGCCUCAGGAAACCAAGAGGAUGCUCCUUAUAAUGCAGGUGGGUUGGGCCUGGAAGAAGAGCCUUCGAAGCCUCAGGAAACCAAGAG